Molecule: ribosomal RNA, 723 nt
Filed under: Bacillus sp. NCCP-2424
Lineage: Bacteria; Bacillati; Bacillota; Bacilli; Caryophanales; Bacillaceae
Description: bacterial SSU rRNA
Rfam family: Bacterial small subunit ribosomal RNA
Source: RNAcentral
UGCAGUCGAGCGGACAGAUGGGAGCUUGCUCCCUGAUGUUAGCGGCGGACGGGUGAGUAACACGUGGGUAACCUGCCUGUAAGACUGGGAUAACUCCGGGAAACCGGGGCUAAUACCGGAUGCUUGUUUGAACCGCAUGGUUCAAACAUAAAAGGUGGCUUCGGCUACCACUUACAGAUGGACCCGCGGCGCAUUAGCUAGUUGGUGAGGUAAUGGCUCACCAAGGCGACGAUGCGUAGCCGACCUGAGAGGGUGAUCGGCCACACUGGGACUGAGACACGGCCCAGACUCCUACGGGAGGCAGCAGUAGGGAAUCUUCCGCAAUGGACGAAAGUCUGACGGAGCAACGCCGCGUGAGUGAUGAAGGUUUUCGGAUCGUAAAGCUCUGUUGUUAGGGAAGAACAAGUACCGUUCGAAUAGGGCGGUACCUUGACGGUACCUAACCAGAAAGCCACGGCUAACUACGUGCCAGCAGCCGCGGUAAUACGUAGGUGGCAAGCGUUGUCCGGAAUUAUUGGGCGUAAAGGGCUCGCAGGCGGUUUCUUAAGUCUGAUGUGAAAGCCCCCGGCUCAACCGGGGAGGGUCAUUGGAAACUGGGGAACUUGAGUGCAGAAGAGGAGAGUGGAAUUCCACGUGUAGCGGUGAAAUGCGUAGAGAUGUGGAGGAACACCAGUGGCGAAGGCGACUCUCUGGUCUGUAACUGACGCUGAGGAGCGAAAGCGU